UGGUAGUAAAAAAUCGUAACAAGGUCUCCGUUGGUGAACCAGCGGAGGGAUCAUUAUCGAGUUAUUCAACUCCCAAACCCUAUGUGAACUUACCACUUGUUGCUUCGGCGCGCGCUUCGGCGCCGCCGAGGACACUUAAACUCUUUGUUUUUAUAAGCAUUUCUGAGUGGCCGAAAGGCAAAAAUACAAAUGAAUCAAAACUUUCAACAACGGAUCUCUUGGUUCUGGCAUCGAUGAAGAACGCAGCGAAAUGCGAUAAGUAAUGUGAAUUGCAGAAUUCAGUGAAUCAUCGAAUCUUUGAACGCACAUUGCGCCCGCCAGCAUUCUGGCGGGCAUGCCUGUUCGAGCGUCAUUUCAACCCUCGAGCCCGACUCUUUUGAGGACGGCUCGGCGUUGGGGGACGGCAGACUCCCCCCGGCAUCUCGCCGGGGACGCCGCCCCCGAAAUCUAGUGGCGGCCCUCCGAGGCGACCUCUGCGUAGUAACUUGUUCUCGCACCGGAAAGCUCAGAGCGGCCACGCCGUAAAACCCCAACUUUUUUCAGGUUGACCUCGAAUCAGGUAGGACUACCCGCUGAACUUAAGCAUAUCAAAAGCCGGGAGGAA
RNAcentral lists this ribosomal RNA (604 nucleotides) under Gloeotinia sp. LJC-2011. RNAcentral describes it as "eukaryotic LSU rRNA". The stretch from base 199 to 352 matches the Rfam family "5.8S ribosomal RNA". The record is from RNAcentral. RNAcentral also lists the same sequence under 1 other name. Lineage: Eukaryota; Fungi; Ascomycota; Leotiomycetes; Helotiales.